RNAcentral lists this non-coding RNA (830 nucleotides) under Ammothea carolinensis. The record is from RNAcentral. Lineage: Eukaryota; Metazoa; Arthropoda; Pycnogonida; Pantopoda; Ammotheidae.
UCAGGUUUGUUUGUAGAUAUGAAUAUGAAAUAUUUUUUAUCCGUGUUAAUUAAUAUAUUAUUUAAAGUUUGAUUUUGGCUUAUAUACUUAAUUUUUAUUAAUAUUAUAAUAUGAAAUUUUUAUAAAUUAAUUUAAGAUCAGUUAUUAAAAUUGUUUGAAUUAAUAUAAUUAUUGAUGAAAAUAUAAUAAUAUAUGAUGGGAUAAUUAUGUGCCAGCAUCCGCGGUUAUACUAAUAUAUUUAAAUUAAGUUUUAUUGGUUAAUAUUUUAUUUUUUUUAAAUGAUAUGGAUAUUAUAAUAAUUUAAAAGUGAAAUUUAAAUAUAGAAUUUUAUUUUAAGAUUAUAUGAAAUUUUUUUUUAAACUAGGAUUAGAUACCCUAUUAUAAUGAAUUUAAAUUUUAUACUAAGAGAUUAGGAGUUAAGGUCUUUAAAUUUAAAGAAUUUGGCGGUAAAUUAAUUUGACUAGAGGAAUUUGUUUAUUAAUAGAUAAUACACAAUUUAUCUUUCUUUAUUUAUUAUUAAUAAUAAUUUAUAUAUCGUCGUUUAGAAUAUUUUUAUAGAAUUAAUUUUCUUUAAUUAUAAUUAAUUAAAAAUCAGAUCAGGAUGUAGUUUAUAUUAAAGAAUAAAAUGAGUUACAUUUUUGAUAAAGAAUUAUGAAUAAUUUUUUGUAAUGAAAAUUUGAAGGAGGAUUUAGAAGUAAUAAUAUAUUAAUAUGAUUUUAUGAAUAUUUAUUAUACUAAUUUAUGUACAUAUUGCCCGUCACUUUCAUUAAAAACUUAAAAUGAAAAAAGUCGUAACAAAGUAGAGUUACUGGAAAGUGGUUCUAGAUUGA